AUGGACGCCCGAAGUCGCCGAGGGGUGAGUGCGGGGCGGGGGCUCCGCGCGGGGCCGGGCGGGGUCCGUGUCCCGCAGCCCCCCCGGGGCGGGCGGCGCGGUUCGGGGUCUCCCCGGGUCACCCACCCGUGCAGCCCCGCGGGACCCCGGCAGGCGGGGGGCGCGGUGGGGUGGGAGCCCGUGUGGGGACCCUCUGUGGAUGCGUGUGCGGGGACGCGCACGAGGCGCGCUCCCGCCGCUCGGCCGAGCCGGGGGUCUCGGGGUACGGAACCCACGGCAGGGGCACGGCCGCGGUGGGUGCGGGUGGGUGCCCCACGCGUGUGCGGGGCUGCUACAGGGGCGUUUCAUGUGACGGCUGAUACAGGUGUGGGGGUCGUGUCGCUGAUCCCCCCCCGAGCAGGGGUGCGAGGGUGGGCUCUGCCUGUCGGGGGGGGUGUGUGGGAUCGAGUGUGUGGUGUGUGCGUGUGCGGGGUGCGUGUGCGUGUUUGCACACGUGUGUUUGUGUGUACACACGUGCGCAGGGGCGUGUGCCCGGGGCCGUGCCGGAGGCCCGGGGGUGAGGCCGGGGCCGGGGGUAGCAGCACUGCGGCUGCGGCGGGGGGGCUGCCGGGGGAGGGUCCUGCCGGGUCACGCCGGGAUUUAUGGCUGCGGCAGGGCUUGCAGGCUGGGGAGGCCACCUGCCCGUCCCCUGCCCGCCCCCCGCUUGGUGCCCCCGCCGCCCCCAGCCCCCCGUCCCCCCGGGCAGAUGCUCCUCUCUCCCGGCUCCCCGUUAAUCCAACGGCACAAGGCGGUGCCGGGCGGGAGCAUCUGCCUCUCCCCAGUGCCCGGCGCUGCCGCCACUGCAGCAGCCCAGACGCGUGCGACAGGCACCCUGGCACUGCCGGGGGGUCCCUCGGGGUCCCCUCCCUCCGCCAGGCCCCGGUGACAGCCAGUGUCCCAUCUCCCUGUCCCGGUACCCUGGGCCUUGGCAGUCCUUUGCUGGGGGGCCGGGACCCCCAGCGCCCGAGUGCGAGGUCAGGGUCAGGGUCAGCGCAGUGA
This 1038-nucleotide long non-coding RNA is filed under the name Parus major (Great Tit). Its description in RNAcentral is "lncRNA (ENSPMJG00000013488.1)". The record is from RNAcentral. Lineage: Eukaryota; Metazoa; Chordata; Aves; Passeriformes; Paridae.